UACGGGGGGAGCAAGCGUUGUUCGGAUUUACUGGGCGUAAAGGGUGCGUAGGCGGCGCGGUAAGUCGGGUGUGAAAUCUCGGAGCUUAACUCCGAAACUGCAUUCGAUACUGCCGUGCUUGAGGACUGGAGAGGAGACUGGAAUUUACGGUGUAGCGGUGAAAUGCGUAGAUAUCGUAAGGAAGACCAGUGGCGAAGGCGGGUCUCUGGACCGGUUCUGACGCUGAUGCGCGAAAGCGUGGGUAGCAAACAGG
Molecule: ribosomal RNA, 253 nt
Filed under: uncultured bacterium
Lineage: Bacteria
Description: partial 16S ribosomal RNA
Rfam family: Bacterial small subunit ribosomal RNA
Source: RNAcentral